RNAcentral lists this long non-coding RNA (412 nucleotides) under Gallus gallus (chicken). Lineage: Eukaryota; Metazoa; Chordata; Aves; Galliformes; Phasianidae. The record is from RNAcentral.
UGAUGAUGGGGUGCCAUCCCUGCCCCGGUGCCACCCAUGGGACGCGGUCCCCUCCCUGUGUGUCACCGGAGCCCCGGCCUGGUGGCACUUGGGGACGGCAGUGUCCCCAUGGGGGUGUUCUCCCAGGGCUCCCCAGUGCGGCUGUACCCCGGAAUGGGGCCACCGGGACGCGCUGUGGGGCGGGCGAUGGGGAGAGCCCCCAAGUUUUGGGGCUAUGGGAUGGGUUGGGGUCAACCCACAGCUUCCGCGGGGUGGGGGGUUGGUGGACACUGCCAUCCAUUGGGUCCCCCAACCCUACAGACCCCCAUGCAUGGACACUGCCAUCCAUUGGGGUCCCCUGAUCCUACAGACCCCCAUGCAUGGACGCUGCCAUCCCAUUGGGGUCCCCCGAUCCUACAGACCCCAAUGCAUG